This 498-nucleotide ribosomal RNA is filed under the name uncultured bacterium. RNAcentral describes it as "partial 16S ribosomal RNA". It matches the Rfam family "Bacterial small subunit ribosomal RNA", at positions 28 to 507 of the family's 1533-position model. The record is from RNAcentral.
GACGAACGCUGGCGGCGUGCCUAAUACAUGCAAGUCGAGCGGACGGAUGGGAGCUUGCUCCCAGACCGUCAGCGGCGGACGGGUGAGUAACACGUGGGCAACCUGCCUGUAAGACUGGGAUAACUCCGGGAAACCGGGGCUAAUACCGGAUAACUCUUUCCCUCACAUGAGGGAAAGCUGAAAGAUGGCAUCUCGCUAUCACUUACAGAUGGGCCCGCGGCGCAUUAGCUAGUUGGUGAGGUAACGGCUCACCAAGGCGACGAUGCGUAGCCGACCUGAGAGGGUGAUCGGCCACACUGGGACUGAGACACGGCCCAGACUCCUACGGGAGGCAGCAGUAGGGAAUCUUCCGCAAUGAACGAAAGUCUGACGGAGCAACGCCGCGUGAGUGAUGAAGGUUUUCGGAUCGUAAAACUCUGUUGUCAGGGAAGAACAAGUACCGGAGUAACUGCCGGUACCUUGACGGUACCUGACCAGAAAGCCACGGCUAACUACGUG